UUAGUGCUGCAGCUAACGCAUUAAGCACUCCGCCUGGGGAGUACGGUCGCAAGACUGAAACUCAAAGGAAUUGACGGGGGCCCGCACAAGCGGUGGAGCAUGUGGUUUAAUUCGAAGCAACGCGAAGAACCUUACCAGGUCUUGACAUCCUCUGACAACCCUAGAGAUAGGGCUUUCCCUUCGGGGACAGAGUGACAGGUGGUGCAUGGUUGUCGUCAGCUCGUGUCGUGAGAUGUUGGGUUAAGUCCCGCAACGAGCGCAACCCUUGAUCUUAGUUGCCAGCAUUUAGUUGGGCACUCUAAGGUGACUGCCGGUGACAAACCGGAGGAAGGUGGGGAUGACGUCAAAUCAUCAUGCCCCUUAUGACCUGGGCUACACACGUGCUACAAUGGACAGAACAAAGGGCUGCGAGACCGCAAGGUUUAGCCAAUCCCAUAAAUCUGUUCUCAGUUCGGAUCGCAGUCUGCAACUCGACUGCGUGAAGCUGGAAUCGCUAGUAAUCGCGGAUCAGCAUGC
RNAcentral lists this ribosomal RNA (516 nucleotides) under Bacillus sp. (in: firmicutes). Its description in RNAcentral is "bacterial SSU rRNA". It matches the Rfam family "Bacterial small subunit ribosomal RNA", at positions 840 to 1357 of the family's 1533-position model. The record is from RNAcentral. Lineage: Bacteria; Bacillati; Bacillota; Bacilli; Caryophanales; Bacillaceae.